Molecule: long non-coding RNA, 914 nt
Organism: Pseudopipra pipra
Lineage: Eukaryota; Metazoa; Chordata; Aves; Passeriformes; Pipridae
Exons: 3
Source: RefSeq, a predicted model, not a curated record
GGUCAAUACAGGUCUCUUUAAACUUUGUGUAUGUUUGGAUAUCUUGAAAGGAAAUGAGAUCAUAAAACUUCAGAGCAGUAUUUCUCCAGCAGUACAUUGGAAAUAGAAGCUGCCUUUUAGCUGAAACACUGUGAUCAAAGCUCACAAGUUAAGAAAUUAGCUGUAUGUAAAAUUAUAUUCUCUACACAAACUGUGCUGAAAAGGCUGUGUUAAGGCUUCUUGGCCAGAAACGGAGUCUAUAGAGUCAUAGAACCAGAGAAUGAUUUCAGCUGAAAAAGACCUUUAGGGUCAUUGAGUUCAACCAUUAACCCAGCACUGCCAAGUCCGCCACUAAACCAUGUGCCUGACACAUCUACAGUCUUUUAAAUACCUCCAGGAGUGGUGACUCCACCACUUCCCCGGGCAGCCUGUUUUAAUGCUUGACAGCCCUAAGAAAUUUUUACUAGUGCUGAGGAGGCUAAUGUUGAGGAGGCUGAGUAAAUUAACAUUAGUUAAUUUACUAAUGUUGAGGAGACUGAGGAGGGAAGACAGGAGGAGAGUAUACAUAAAGAAAGAUAAAACCUUUCCCUCGAAGAAUUUCAUAUCUGGAAAUCUAUACGAAAAGAUUCCCACACCACCAGGAAAGAAGCAGGGGAUCCAAACUAAUCAGCAGCAUUUUACAUGUAUUUCCAAGGAUACAAGAAAGGAAGGAGGAUGGAUGAUCAAGACCACAAGGUCUGUUUUGCUUAACUGAAGGCAAAUCCUGUUCUGCACAAAUACCAAGUGCUGCAAAGGUGAAAUAACCAUGUAGAACACCUAAAACAAUAGUGCUUCCCCUUUUGGCUUGUAUAGUUAGCCAGUAUGACACACCUUCUUAGCUGUCUUUGCAGUCUGCUUUUCUUUGUUCAGAAGUAAAUCUGAUUGAAUCAAUGUUU